This 354-nucleotide transfer-messenger RNA is filed under the name Acidobacteriota bacterium. It matches the Rfam family "transfer-messenger RNA". Rfam says of the family: Bacterial tmRNA, also known as 10Sa RNA or SsrA, is named for its dual tRNA and mRNA-like properties. Its role is to liberate the mRNA from a stalled ribosome. Lineage: Bacteria; Pseudomonadati; Acidobacteriota. The record is from RNAcentral.
GGGGGCGAUCUGGCUUCGACGGGGGUACUGAGCCGCGGGAUGCAUGCCGAGCCCCACUGACUCGCAAAUCCGGUGGAACACAACGUAACUGCGGACACGCAGCUCGCUCUCGCUGCCUAACUAGCGGCGACGUCCACCUCGUUCUUGCCUGCGAGGCGGGACUGGAUGUCAUUACAGCAGGCUGGCUCUCACUGGCGGUUCCGACGGGUGAGGGCGAGAUUUCAUCGGGGCUAGUCCGCGGCGGUUUCUCGCCGCUCUUCGACGUCGCGGGCGAACCUUAAAGAGCGGAUACGCAUGUAGAUUCCUGCGAGGACGUAUUCUCGGACGCGGGUUCGACUCCCGCCGCCUCCACCA